ACUCCUACGGGAGGCAGCAGUGGGGAAUAUUGGACAAUGGGCGCAAGCCUGAUCCAGCCAUGCCGCGUGAGUGAUGAAGGCCCUAGGGUUGUAAAGCUCUUUCACCGGUGAAGAUAAUGACGGUAACCGGAGAAGAAGCCCCGGCUAACUUAGUGCCAGCGCAGCCGCCGGGUAAUACGAAGGGGCGUAGCGUUGUUCGGGAUUUACUGGGCGUAAAGCGCACGUAGGCGGACUUUUAAGUCAGGGGUGAAAUCCCGGGGCUCAACCCCGG
Molecule: ribosomal RNA, 271 nt
Filed under: uncultured bacterium
Lineage: Bacteria
Description: partial 16S ribosomal RNA
Rfam family: Bacterial small subunit ribosomal RNA
Source: RNAcentral